UAUAUCGUCAUAGCCUCGCCAGUCGACAGACAGCCACUCACACACACAAGAAAGAAAGAAGAUAUAUUGGUAUAAGGGCUGUUGCCAACACAAGAUCCGUAAUGAGUAGUCACCGGCUCCGCUAACGAUCAAAGAGGACAGAGUCCCCUGAAACCAACCGCCGCUCGCUGAGAGCAAAGCCUCAUAGCUAAACCAUUCACACAGCAAUAUUAAGGUAAACAUACUUCAUGUAAAAGCAAUUGCGAAUUUUAUAUUUUAGAAAAAAAAUAACAUAAAGAAAAUCGAAAAUGAAGAUCUAGAGAUUGCAGAGGAUGGAGGCCCAAACAGAAACAGAAAAAAAUGGUAGAAAGAGAAGGCUCAGAUCAGGUAUGCCUUCAAAUCGGACAGGACAGAAACACCACAACCCCAAGGCUGCAAAAACCAAAGGUUGCCCCGCCAAGAAAUUGAGUAUUUCUCCUCGAGUACGACUUUUCAGGCUCACUGAAUAUAUCGUCAUAGCCUUGCCAGUCGACAGACAGCCACUCACACACACAAGAACGAAAGCAGAUAUAUUGGUAUAAGGGCUGUUGCCAACACAUGGUCCGUAAUGAGUAGUCACCGGCUCCGCUAUCGAUCAGAGAGGACAGAGUCAACCACCCUGAAACCAACCCCCCUCCUCACUGAGAGCAAAGCCUCUUACCUAAACCAUUCACACAGCAAUAUUAAGGUAAACAUAUUUCAUGUAAAAGCAAUUGCGAAUUUUAUAUUUUAGAAAACAAAUAUCAUAAAGAAAAUCGAAAAUGAAGAGCGAGAGAUUGCAGAGGAUGGAGGCCCAGACAGAAACAGAAAAAAAUAGGUAGAAAGAGAAGGCUCAGAUCAGAUAUGCCUUCAAAUCGGACAGGACAAAAACACCUCAACCCCAGGGCUGCAACAAAAAAAAGGUUGCCUCUCCAAAAAAUUGAGUAUUUCUCCCCCAGUCUGACUUUUCAGGCUCACUGAAUAAAUCGCCAUAGCCUCGNNNNNNNNNNNNACACACAAGAAAGAAAACAGAUAUAUUGGUAUAAGGGCUGUUGCCAACACAAGAUCCGUAAUGAGUAGUCACCGGCUCUGCUACCGAUCAGAGAGGACAGAGUAAACCACCCUGAAACCAACCCCCCCCCUCACUGAGAGCAAAGCCUCAUACCUAAACCAUUCACACAGCAAUAUUAAGGUAAACAUAUUUCAUAAAAAAGCAAUUGCGAAUUUUAUAUUUUAGAAAAAAAAAUAACAUAAAGAAAAUCGAAAAUGAAGAGCUAGAGAUUGAAGAGGAUGGAGGCCCAAACAGAAACAGAAAAAAACGGUAGAAAGAGAAGGCUCAGAUCAGGUAUGCCUUCAAAUCGGACAGGACAGAUACACCACAACCCCAGGGCUGCAAAAACCAAAGGUUGCCCCGCCAAGAAAUUGAGUAUUUCUCCUCCAGUCUGACUUUUUAGGCUCACUGAAUAUAUCGUCAUAGCCUCGCCAGUCACCAGACAGCCACUCACACACACAAUAAAUAAAGCAGAUAAAUUGGUAUGAGGACUGUUACCAACAUAAGAUCCAUAAGGAGUAGUCACCGGCUCCGCUAACGAUCAGAGAGGACACAGUCAACCUCCCUGAAACCAACCGCCACUCACUGAGAGCAAAGCCUCGUACCUAAACAAUUCACACAGCAAUCUUAAGGUAAACAUAUUUCAUGCAAAAGCAAUUGCGAAUUUUGUAUUUUAGAAAAAANNNNNNNNNNNNNNNNNNNNNNNNNNNNNNNNNNNNNNAGAGGAUGGAGGCCCAAACAGAAACAGAAAAAAACGGUAGAAAGAGAAGGCUCAGAUCAGAUAUGCCUUCAAAUCGAACAGGAGAGAAACACCUCAACCCCAGGGCUGCAACAAAAAAAAGGUUGCCUCGCCAAAAAAUUGAGUAUUUCUGAUCUGAGCAAAGCCUCUUACCUAAACCAUUCACACAGCAAUAUUAAGGUAAACAUAUUUCAUGUAAAAGCAAUUGCGAAUUUUAUAUUUUAGAAAACAAAUAUCAUAAAGAAAAUCAAAAAUGAAGAGCGAGAGAUUGCAGAGGAUGGAGGCCCAAACAGAAACAGAAAUAAUCUGUAGAAAGAGAAGGCUCAGAUCAGAUAUGCCUUCAAAUCGGACAGGACAGAAACACCUCAACCCCAGGGCUGCAACAAAAAAAAGGUUGCCUCGCCAAAAAAUUGAGUAUUUCUGAUCUGAGCAAAGCCUCUUACCUAAACCAUUCACACAGCAAUAUUAAGGUAAACAUAUUUCAUGUAAAAGCAAUUGCGAAUUUUAUAUUUUAGAAAACAAAUAUCAUAAAGAAAAUCAAAAAUGAAGAGCGAGAGAUUGCAGAUAAUGAGUAGUCACCGGCUCUGCUACCGAUCAGAGAGGACAGAGUCAACCACCCUGAAACCAACCCCCCCCUCACUGAGAGCAAAGCCUCAUACCUAAACCAUUCACACAGCAAUAUUAAGGUAAACAUACUUCAUGUAAAAGCAAUUGCGAAUUUUAUAUUUUAGAAAAAAAANN
This 2528-nucleotide long non-coding RNA is filed under the name Jatropha curcas. RNAcentral describes it as "long non-coding RNA (JCUR_LNC000854)". The record is from RNAcentral. Lineage: Eukaryota; Viridiplantae; Streptophyta; Magnoliopsida; Malpighiales; Euphorbiaceae.